RNAcentral lists this ribosomal RNA (551 nucleotides) under Limnonectes longchuanensis. RNAcentral's name for it is "partial 16S ribosomal RNA". It matches the Rfam family "Bacterial large subunit ribosomal RNA", at positions 1819 to 2597 of the family's 2925-position model. Lineage: Eukaryota; Metazoa; Chordata; Amphibia; Anura; Dicroglossidae. The record is from RNAcentral.
CGCCUCUUGAAAAAUUAUAAGAGGUCCAGCCUGCCCAGUGAUAAAAUUAAACGGCCGCGGUACCCUGACCGUGCAAAGGUAGCAUAAUCACUUGUUCUCUCAAUAGGGACUUGUAUCAACGGCAUCACGAGGGUUAUACUGUCUCCUCUUUUUAAUCAGUGAAACUGACCUCCCCGUGAAGAGGCGGGGAUUUUUUUACAAGACGAGAAGACCCCAUGGAGCUUUAAACCCAAUAGCAGCCCACACUAAACUUACCCAAGAAUAGGAAAGCAGUGCUUAUUGGUUUUGGGUUGGGGUGACCACGGAGAAUAACUAAACCUCCACGACGAAUGGACCAUAAUCCUAAUCCACGAGCUACCACUCCAAGAAUCAAUAUUUUGACAUAAUAUGAUCCGGUAACCGAUCAACGAACCAAGUUACCCUGGGGAUAACAGCGCAAUCCAUUUCAAGAGCCCCUAUCGACAAAUGGGUUUACGACCUCGAUGUUGGAUCAGGGUAUCCUAGUGGUGCAGCCGCUACUAAAGGUUUGUUUGUUCAACAAUUAAAACCCU